UACAGAGGUCCCAAGCGUUGUUCGGAUUCACUGGGCGUAAAGGGUGCGCAGGUGGGUUUGCAAGUUCGGUGUGAAAGCCCCGGGCUUAACCCGGGAAUGGCAUUGGAUACUGCAGAUCUGGAGGUUCGGAGGGGGGACUGGAAUUCUUGGUGUAGCAGUGAAAUGCGUAGAUAUCAAGAGGAACACCAGUGGCGAAGGCGACUUACUGGACACAUAUUGACGCUGAGGUGCGAAAGCGUGGGGAGCAAACAGG
RNAcentral lists this ribosomal RNA (253 nucleotides) under uncultured bacterium. RNAcentral's name for it is "partial 16S ribosomal RNA". It matches the Rfam family "Bacterial small subunit ribosomal RNA", at positions 524 to 776 of the family's 1533-position model. The record is from RNAcentral.